RNAcentral lists this long non-coding RNA (373 nucleotides) under Ananas comosus (pineapple). RNAcentral describes it as "long non-coding RNA (ACOM_LNC039073)". Lineage: Eukaryota; Viridiplantae; Streptophyta; Magnoliopsida; Poales; Bromeliaceae. The record is from RNAcentral.
UAAACUUUCCGUGUGGCUUUGAACUUUUUCAUUUUAGUACCCUCCGAUUUAAAGUGUAUCAAGGCAGUAUUUUAUGGUUUCAUUUUUCUCUUUUCGUCAACCCCUCUGUUAAUAUUUUUUUAAAUUAUAUACAAAAAAAACUUCAGAAUACCCCACCUAGGUUUAUCGAAUAUUCACUUUAGUACCCUUUAGUUUUAACUCUGUUACUGAUUUAACGAAAAAAAAUAAUAAAAUAAAAAAUAAAAAGAGAAAAACAAAAACCACAUUGCACUAAAUUUAUACACUUUAAAUUACACGGUACUAAAAUGAGAAAGUACGAAAUUAAUUUCACAGGAUGGUAUUUGAAGUUUUUUUUCAAAAAAAAAAAAGAAAA